Molecule: ribosomal RNA, 253 nt
Filed under: uncultured bacterium
Lineage: Bacteria
Description: partial 16S ribosomal RNA
Rfam family: Bacterial small subunit ribosomal RNA
Source: RNAcentral
UACAGAGGGGGCAAGCGUUGUUCGGAAUUACUGGGCGUAAAGGGCGCGUAGGUGGCCUUCUAAGUUGAACGUGAAAUCCCUGGGCUCAACCCAGGAACUGCGUCCAAGACUGGGAGGCUUGAAUCCGGGAGAGGGGUGCGGAAUUCCAGGUGUAGCGGUGAAAUGCGUAGAUAUCUGGAGGAACACCGGUGGCGAAGGCGGCAUCCUGGACCGGUAUUGACACUGAGGCGCGAAAGCCAGGGGAGCAAACGGG